This 254-nucleotide ribosomal RNA is filed under the name uncultured prokaryote. Its description in RNAcentral is "partial 16S ribosomal RNA". It matches the Rfam family "Bacterial small subunit ribosomal RNA", at positions 523 to 776 of the family's 1533-position model. The record is from RNAcentral.
ACACGGGGGGAGCAAGCGUUGUUCGGAAUCACUGGGCGUAAAGGGCGUGUAGGCGGUUGGAUAAGUGGAAUGUGAAAUCCCUCGGCUCACCCGAGGACCUGCAUCCCAAACUGUCCGACUUGAGUAUGGGAGAGGAUGAGGGAAUUCCUGGUGUAGCGGUGAAAUGCGUAGAUAUCAGGAGGAACACCGGUGGCGAAGGCGCUCAUCUGGCCCAAUACUGACGCUGAGGCGCGAAAGCUAGGGGAGCAAACGGG